RNAcentral lists this non-coding RNA (27 nucleotides) under Cricetulus griseus (Chinese hamster). Lineage: Eukaryota; Metazoa; Chordata; Mammalia; Rodentia; Cricetidae. The record is from RNAcentral.
CACUGGCAUGGACACAGUUUGACUGUU